CCUACGGGCGGCAGCAGUGGGGAAUAUUGCACAAUGGGGGAAACCCUGAUGCAGCGACGCCGCGUGAGCGAAGAAGUAUUUCGGUAUGUAAAGCUCUAUCAGCAGGGAAGAAAAUGACGGUACCUGACUAAGAAUCCCCGGCUAACUACGUGCCAGCAGCCGCGGGAAUACGUAGGGGGCAAGCGUUAUCCGGAUUUACUGGGUGGAAAGGGAGCGUAGACGGCUUUGCAAGUCUGAAGUGAAAGCCCAGGGCUCAACCUUGGGACUGCUUUGGAAACUGUAGAGCUUGAGUACCGGAGGGGUAAGCGGAAUUCCUGGUGUAGCGGUGAAAUGCGUAGAUAUUAGGAGGAACACCAGUGGCGAAGGCGGCUUACUGGACGGUAACUGACGUUGAGGCUCGAAAGCGUGGGGAGCAAACAGGAUUAGAUACCCGAGUAGUC
RNAcentral lists this ribosomal RNA (440 nucleotides) under uncultured bacterium. RNAcentral's name for it is "partial 16S ribosomal RNA". It matches the Rfam family "Bacterial small subunit ribosomal RNA", at positions 338 to 795 of the family's 1533-position model. The record is from RNAcentral.